GAUUUGAAGAGUUUGAUCAUGGCUCAGGAUGAACGCUGGCGGCACGUCUGACACAUGCAAGUCGAACGGCAAGCCACCUUCGGGUGGCCUAGAGUGGCGAACGGCUGAGUAACACGUAGGAACCUACCCCUUAGUUCGGGACAACAGGCCGAAAGGCCUGCUAAUACCGGAUAAUAUCGAAAGAUUAAAAGGUUUACUGCUGAGGGAGGGGCCUGCGGCGUAUUAGCUAGUUGGUGAGGUAACUGCUCACCAAGGCGAUGAUGCGUAGCUGGUCUGAGAGGAUGAUCAGCCAGACUGGGACUGAGACACGGCCCAGACUCCUACGGGAGGCAGCAGUUCAGAAUCUUGCACAAUGGGCGAAAGCCUGAUGCAGCGAUGCCGCGUGGGUGAAGAAGGCCUUCGGGUCGUAAAGCCCUGUCAGAGGGAAAGAUAAUGACGGUACCCUCUAAGGAAGCCACGGCUAAUUACGUGCCAGCAGCCGCGGUAAUACGUAAGUGGCGAGCGUUAUCCGGAAUCACUGGGCGUAAAGCGUGCGUAGGCGGUUUGGCAAGUUGGAUUUGAAAGCCCGGGGCUCAACUCCGGACCCGGAUCCAAAACUGCCAGACUAGAGCGGAUCAGAGGACAGUGGAAUUCCCGGUGUAGCGGUAAUAUGCGUAGAUAUCGGGAGGAACACCAGUGGCGAAGGCGACUGUCUGGGGUCUUGCUGACGCUGAGGCACGAAAGCCAGGGGAGCGAACGGGAUUAGAUACCCCGGUAGUCCUGGCCAUAAACGAUGAACACUAGGUGUCGGGGGCUUCGACCCCUUCGGCGCCGCCGCUAACGCAUUAAGUGUUCCGCCUGGGGAGUACGGCCGCAAGGUUAAAACUCAAAGGAAUUGACGGGGGCCCGCACAAGCAGUGGAGCAUGUGGUUUAAUUCGAUGCUACGCGAAAAACCUUACCAGGGUUUGACAUCCCAGUGUAAGCCCCUAGAAAUAGGGGCCCCCUUCGGGCACUGGUGACAGGUGGUGCAUGGUUGUCGUCAGCUCGUGCCGUGAGGUGUUGGAUUAAGUUCCGCAACGAGCGCAACCCUCGUUGCUAGUUGCCAGCAUUAAGUUGGGCACUCUAGCGAGACUGCCAGCGUCAAGCUGGAGGAAGGUGGGGAUGACGUCAAAUCAUCAUGCCCCUUACAUCCUGGGCUACACACGUGCUACAAUGGGCAGUACAACGGGUUGCCACACCGCGAGGUGGAGCGAAUCCUUCAAAGCUGCUCUCAGUUCGGAUUGCAGGCUGCAACUCGCCUGCAUGAAGCUGGAAUUGCUAGUAACCGUGGAUCAGCAUGCCGCGGUGAAUACGUACUCGGGCCUUGUACACACCGCCCGUCACACCAUGAAAGCCGGAAACACCCGAAGUCCGCAGGCUAACCCGCAAGGGAGGCAGCGGCCGAAGGUGGAGCUGGUGAUUAGGGUGAAGUCGUAACAAGGUAACCAAUC
Molecule: ribosomal RNA, 1470 nt
Filed under: uncultured Bacillota bacterium
Lineage: Bacteria; Bacillati; Bacillota
Description: bacterial SSU rRNA
Rfam family: Bacterial small subunit ribosomal RNA
Source: RNAcentral